ACCAACUGUCACUGGGUGACAGAAUCCUUUGGAAGGCUUCAGCUGUUAACAGUUUAGAAUGUCACUGUUCCCAGGAGCCUUUGCACUGAACAGUGGAGAUGCGGUGGGCAGGUGUGGAGGGGUAAAAGAGGUGAGGGUGAGAAUCUUUACCCACCAGUGACAUUUACUCUGAUUAGAGAAUUUAGGCAGGACAGGCUGGGCCAGGGAGCCCUUCAGAGGUGUCACUAAGCUAAUAUGUGCCGUAAAGUGUGGAAGGGAGGCAGCAAUGCUUUCCAGAGAGUUUCACUCUUGUCGCCCAGGCUGAGGCAAUCUCAGCUCACUGCAACCUCUGCCUCCCAGGUUCAAGUGAUUCUCCUGCCUCAGUCUCCCAAGCAGCUGGGAUUACAGGAGCCCACCACCAUGCCUGGCUAAUUUUUGUAUUAGAGGUUUCACCAUAUUGACCAGACUGGCCUCGAACUCCUGAUCUCAAGUGAUCCAUCUGCCUCGGCCUCCCAAAGUGCUGGGAUCACAAGCGUGAGCCAUCAUGUGUGGCCAUGUCUCUUCCUUUCAAGAUGGAAGGUUUCUGAACUACGUGCUGGCAAGAAUGUGGCUGACAAUAAGGAGACCUGGAUCUGCCUCCAGGGGUGCUGGAGGAGCAGGGCCCUCAUGCAGGGUUAGGAGAUGCACAGAAUUCAGGGCCUCCAGGUGACAGCAGAACCUGAAUGGACUGCUCAUGGAGGAAGAAGCCCUGAUGGAGUCCAGAAACUCACAUUCCAUUCUGACUUCUUCACCAUUCAGCUAUGCCGUCAUGGGCACAUCACUUAGCCUCACUGGCAUUCAGUUCCCUCAGUAGUAAAAUAUGGCAAGGUAAAGGGAAGGACCAACAAUUUAUCUUCACUUACAACUCUGAGUUAUCAUUUUAUGAAAAAAAAAUAUGUUGGCUGGGAGUGGUGGCUCAUGCAUGUCUGGAAUCUGAGCACUUUGGGAGGCUGAGACAGGAGGAUUACUUGAACCAGGAGUUCAAGACCAGCAUGAGCAACAUAGUGAGACCUUGCCUCUGCAAAAAACUAAAAACAUGUCACCAUAUUUCCACUAGAGGUCAAGAAGAAUAGGGCUGUUUUUAGCCUAAAAAUCAGGACAAUUAACUCAUCUAAAAUGAGUUAAGUGUUUUGUAAUAAUCAUCUCAUAUAUCAGAUAGGGCUUUAAACUUCAUAGUGAGUUUUUAUAUUUUUUGUUCUUUCAGUAACUGUGGCAGAGAGGUUGCCAAUAUCCAUUCUCCUACUCUCCCCUAUCAAUCUUAUUAGAAAUGGCAAUAUGGCCAGGCAUGGAGGCUCAGGCUGAAAUCCCAACUCUUUGGAAGGCCAAAGCGUGUAGACUGCUUGAGCCUAGGGGUUGGAUAGCAGCCUGGGCAACACAGGGAGAUCCCUGUCAAAAAAAGAAGGAAAGAAGGGCCGGCACUAUGCCCAGUUAAAAACUACAUUCCCAGCCUCUUUUGCAGCUAGAUAAUGACCAUGUGACUAAGUUCUAGCCAAAAAGCUAUAAGCAGAAGUGUCAUUUAGGAAGCCUCCCUCAAGGAAGAGAAUACAUGCUUAGCGCUCUUCAUUCUCUGCUGGCUGAAUGAGAAUAAGACAUCUGAAACCCAGGCAGCCAUAUGGGACUAUGAGAUAAGGUGCCAAGAGUGCUGGUGCGGCAAGACAGAGGGAUCAUGGGUCCCCAGCACAAGGAGCCACCUUCCCAGUCCUGGGCAAUCCUCCCUUUGCACUUCUUUGGCAUAAGAGAAAAAUCACUUCUAACUUGCUAAACAACUAUUAUUUUUGUUUUCUUGUUCCAUGUAAUCAAACCUAAUCCUAACUGAGAAAGCAGUGAUCUGCUUUAUGGAAGACCCUGUGCUAGGUGCUGCAGGGGAUGCCAGAGAAUAUGGGCUUUAGAUAUACAGAGACUUGGGCAAGAACAUUCUGUCUAGGGGCGAAAGAAGUGCCCAGAAGAGUUUGGUGUGGCAUGAAGAGGACUCAUGGGAGAUGUGGUGAGGGAGUAUGAUGGAAGGUUCUUGAAUGCCAGGCUAAUGAGGCUGGAGUCCAUCUUGUGACAGACAGAGCAGAUAACCUUGUUCCAAUGUACAAAUGGAGAAGCCCAGGCCUCAAUAGGUUGAAGGACUUGUCCAGGGUCACCCAGCCAGGGAGUGGCAGAGCCCAUCUCAAUUCUCCUGAUCCUUCAAUUCUGUGCUCUUUGAGAGAAUCUGAGGCAGACGGAGUAAGAAUAGAGGUUUCACACUUUGACCCACCCUCAUCACACCCCAUCAUGUUCAAGAGGGGGGCUUUGGGGGUUGCCAGAAGUCUAGGAUCUGGACCUAUCUUUAACUCAGAGCUCCCUGCUGGGCCUCCCGUGUAGCUCCCCUUCACAAGGCCAUAAUAGCCAGGGUGCUAUCCCACUAUGUAAUAAGUACCAAUGAGUCUGUCACAGUGCUGGGUGCUUUAGGUACAUGAUCUAAUUUACUGCCCUCAGCAGCCUAAAAUAUUUUUUAAAAACAUUUUACAAGUGAAGAUGAAGAAACUGAAGAUCUAAGAAAUGAAGCCACCUACUCAAAGCCACUCAGUCGAUAGCAAAGUGGAUACAAAGCCAUGUUUGUUCAACUCCAAAGGUAAGUUCCUAGCACCACAUUCUAAUGUCUUCCUGAUCCUCACCAAAGCAUGUAACAGUCUCCUGUCCCUGUUCAGACUCCCAAGGACUUACCUGGUUUGAUGGGCUGACCUGGCCAGGGACCUCCUAUGAGGCUCCGGCUGGUUACGUUCUACCUGGAGCCAGGAGCCAGUUUCCCUCCAGCAAUCACAUCACUCAUGCCCUGCCCAUGACCCCACAUGGGUCUGGGACCUCCUGGAGAGGGGGCAGGCCCCUGCCUUCUGUGGCCUCAGUCUUCCUGGAACUCUUACUUUUGGCUGAUCAUGGGGCAGGGGUGUCAGAGUUUCUUCAAUCUAGGUUCUAGAGCUCACAGAUUCCAGAGAGCUGUUUCCUGGGAUUGGGGGUAUUUUUUGUGUCCUGAUUGGCUGUCAUGGUUAGAAUGCAUUCAUUAUGAAUCGAGCUGACAUUCUUUUGGGAAACAACUGGUCAUUAGAACUGAAUCUUCUCUCAUUACCAGCAUUUGGAAAGUUGAGUUUCAUUUUGUCGGUCAUUCAGUGCAUCUUUGCAAUAAUGUGGUAUGUCUAGCAUUCCAGCAUGAACCACAGAUUUCCCCAAGUAGACCAUACAGCUUUCUUUUGGAACUUUCACAGGAAACACCCUGAGAUGUAGCCUGCAGAGCUGAAGGCAACAGAUGAACCUCAGCCCCUCUGUAUUCAUUGCCCAACUCUGAGAGGUCCAGAACUUUGCCCUCAGUUGUCACCAGCCCACACAUUCCUGUCUGGCACAGCCUCCCUUCCCAUUGGCCAAACUCUCAGUAUUCCUUUUCGAGCUCCACCUGUCUCACCCCUACACCCUUUCCCUUAAUCAGGCUGAAGUUGGAAUGUGUUCACCCAAUUUUAUUAUAACUACAUAUAUUCAGCUUAGUCUAAGCUUUAGCAGAUUUUCAUAGUUAUUAAUGGAAUAUUAUCUAUUUCCUUAUAAACACUGUAAUCAGCAUUCCCAUUCUCAAAUGCACUAUUUAAAGUAUCUGAAGAUCAGACACUUUGAGUAAUUUAAAUUUAUGACAAAGUUUUCUGAAGAUAUAAGCAGAUUCUGUUAGAUACAGAUGCACAUACAAUUCUUACAACACUUUCAGGCACUGUAGAGUGAUCAAAAUAUCUGACCAGAGCCUGUCACUGUACCUCGUAGACAUUCUUACAAACAGCUCUUAUCUAAUCCUCAUAACCCAUCACCUGUCACCCAUAAGUGACACUUAAACCAUUAGAUCCACAUGAUUACUGAAUGCUUGCUUCUUCAUUGGUUACAGGAAUCUCGUGAAAAUCUUGUCUUCAUAUUAUAUAGCAAGACUUUGGGCUUAGGCAUACUUCUAGGACAAAUAAGCAGUUAAUGACCAUGAAAGGCCUUUGAACCCCAUGUAGCCCUGCACGUAUGCAAGCUGCUCUUUUAGGUGGAUCCUCCCAGGGUGGCUCUUCAAUGACUGUGUACUGAAUUGGACAUGAAUAUAGCCGAUAGACAGCAUUAGGGACUCAUCCUCUGGCCCCAGAGGCCCAUGAAAGAGUGUCCAGGCAGGACAGACUAUGCUGGGAAGGGGGAAGGCCUGGACCCUCAUUGAGUGGAAAGGAACCCAAAAGGAAGGGAAAUCCAUCAACAUCCUGUGAACUAAAUAGACAGAAAUUCUGUUUAGGAAAAAAACCAUGAUAAAUAAAAUUCCUGAGUGCAGCUGCUAAGUCAAGGAGCACCAUACACAUCCUCUUCUGCAAGAGAAUGAGAAGAUGGAGCCACAGCUCCCAUCCCAUAUCUGCAUCUGGCGUGGCCUUCCCACCAUAGGCCAUGGGUCAGACCUGGCUCCACAGGCAAAGGGGCUGCUUAGGCCAGACCUGAAAUAGGCUGAGUGGAAACCUGCAAGCCCCUUCUGCCUCCCUGUGCAUGGAAAGGAACUGUCAGUGAGUUUGGAGAUCUCUGCCCUUGUCAGAGGAAGGUGUCCUAAUCUCAAGGCAGGGCAGGUGUCUGUGGCCGAGAGCUGAGCAGAGAACAAGCAGCCAGUGGAGGCUUUCAUCUGAACUGUGCAGCCCUUACCUGACUGGGAAGCACAAGUGAUAAUUAGUAGCAAGUUACUUUAUGUAAAGCCUCUCUAUUUUUGUGUGCUAUAUUUAGAGAAACAAACUGCUUUGGCAUUUAGAGAUGAAUUUUAUGUAAGAGUUUGUUGCUGCUGCUGCUGUUGUUACUGUUCAUCAUCCAGAUAAUAAAAGCAAACUAGAAAUACUCAAAUGCCAGUGCCACCACCAAAUAUAUAAAAUAUGUCAUAGGCCCCUUUCAGUCAUCCUAUUCUUAACUUUUAGGAAGAGCCUUUGUCAUAAUCUGAUGCUUGACAAAAUGUUUUCCAUCCUUGUAUCACCUCCACCCCCUGCUUCCCCAUUAGGAUUUUGCAAGUGCAUUUGAUUGUAACAACCUAACUCACCAGGUGGCGUUGGGCCAGUCCCUACUGCACUGGGUCUCACCAGCUGGAUGCAGGACCUCUCAGUUUCUCUCCCACUGUGGAGACUUUUUCAUCUCCAUGAGUCCAUAACCAGUGAUCCCAUUAGGAAACAAUGCAGUUUCUAGAAUUUUGUGUCUGUAGGGAACAUCCACUUCUGGCUGAACUGUCCCUAAAUGCCGCUAACACAGAGCUUCCAAACUUUCAAGCCUCAAUAAUGGCUCCAAGGAAUUCAGUGUUCUGAAUUCUGCACCAAAUGAAUUCUGGAGCUACAUGAAGGGGCCUGGACAGGCAUUAGUUGGCUUGGUUCAAAGAAGGAAAUUGACCCAUUGCCUUUUUCCUGUUUUCCCUUGCAGUGGCCUCCAGGGCUGCUGUUUCUGGACAUCUCCCCAAACCCCUACCACCAUGUUAUCACCACUCUGAGAGUCCAGGCCCUUGGGUGGUCCACAAUUGCUCACCAUGCCUGGCCUUUCUCCAGCCCUCUCUCUCCUUGCCUGCUGAGAAGCUCCUUCUUAUGGAAGCUGCUCUUAGGUAGGGAGUUAGCCACACUCAGGCAUAAUACUUCCUAAAGAAUUUAAGUGCAUAUGUCUUAGGGAGGAGAAAAAAAAUCAAUUAAGCUUCCAAAGAAAUUAGAGUAGUAGAACUUAUGGCAUAAGUGAUAAACAGAGGUGGAAACGUUUUAUGGCAUGAAAGCCUUCCAGCACAAAAUUUUUGGAUUUGGGUGUGCCUCUACUCUUUUUUUUUUUUUUCCCCCAACCAUGUGGUCUUGGGAAAUUUAUUUAGCCACUGUGAAAGUCAAUGUCUGUGACUAAAAUGGCUAUGGAGCCAUGGACUCACAAGAUAACGUGAAAGAGCUUGCGAAUUGUAAAGCUCAGCACAGACCUCAAAGUCCAUGCCCUGCCCCCAGCACCCUGCCUCCUCCUCUGCCGGGGUGUCAUCUCCAUCUCGGCCCUGACACUCAGAGCCCUGGCAAGAAGAGGGAGGAUGUGCACCAGCGCUUUCCCCUCCAACCUUCCCACACUGCGUGCCCUCCCCACCUCCCAACUCACCACAGGGAUCUCCAAAUGUUGCUUUGUGUAUGUGGAUUUUUCCCCCCAAGAACACUCCAAAUUUCUGGAAUCCACAGGCUGAAUUUCACCACAGGGUUUCUGACACCGCCUUUGAAAGGACAACGGGACUCUGUGCCAGAGCGGAAGGGAGGAGGGUCUGUGUGGAGCUUUUCUACGUCAUGGCUAAAAUCAGGGGACCUGUGGACCUUGCUGCUGCUGCUUUUUUUUUUUAACCUAUCAAAAAACAUGUCCCUUCUAACAAUAUUCACAGAAUCUCUCAGCUUCCCCCACCCAAAGACUGGGCAGUGUGACGACGGGCUUGGUCCAAUAUUACAAUCAAGCAGCACUUGGAAUGGAUUCCCACAUGUGGAGGCCAGUCAGAAGGCACCCCGCCAGCCCCAAAAAGAGUAGACACAGAAUCCUGCUCUGUCAUACGGUGACAUGAUCUCAUCUAACUGCAACCUUUGCCUCUGGGGGGAUUCAAGCAAUUCUCCUGCCUCAGCCUCCUGAAUAACUGAGACUAUAGGCACAUACCACACCCAGCUAAUUUUUGCAUUUUUAGUAGAGGUGGAGUUUCACCACGUUGCCCAGGCUGCUCUCAAACUCCUGGCCUCAAGUGAUCCACCCACCUUGGCCUCCCAAAGUGCUGGGAUUACAAAUGUGAGCCACCAUGCUUGGCCCAUUUGACAUUCUUAAUGAAUGCCUUAGGACAUAGAACACAUCCAUUUCUUCCCUCAAGGAGUUUACAGUCAUUUUGAGAACAUAAGAAAUGAAUUCAUGAAGAAAAAGUUAAGUUGCAACAAGUGUGGGCAGAACAGAGAAGUGGAGAAAGAGGCUCCUCAAUGUGGAGCUGAUCAGGGAGGCCUUCAUGGAGGAGGCAGGGCCUACAAGCUCCUGGGAGGAACUAGGUGUGAAGCCUCUUGAUUCUAUUAUUCCAUUCCUUGGCAGAACAGAGAAAUAGUCCAGUGACACUGAGGAGUAGGAUUUAUCAGUCAGUUGCUUGGGGACUUAAUCUCUGAAGUUUCCUCAAAGUGGAAAAGAAGGUUAUCAAGGACCCAGUGUCUUCAGGAUCCAGUGUCCCUAGGCCCCUUGGGGCUCAGCCCAACAGACAGAAGCAUGUUCUUCACAGGCACUAGUUCAGUUAGAAUAGUGGCUGUCUGCCACAUCAGACUCAGUGUGCCUUCUUAUAACACAAGACUCCAUCUUGGAAAAAACCAAACAAAUGCAAACAAACAAGCAACACGUAACUUGUAACUCUCCUUUUGUUAUGCUCAAAUGAAACCCAUAGAUAAUAUAUCUACCUACACACAAAAUUUCCUCCCCAAAUUCAUAAUAUCAAAAAAAUGUAAUGCACUCACUGUGUUAUAAUCAAGAAACAAAAUCAAUUUUAUAGAAAAAUAAGCAUUUCAGGAUCCCAAGAUGGCUGAAUAAGAGGCAGUUCCGGAAAGCAGUUCCCAGCGAGAGAGAUGCAGAAACUGAGUGGUCUCCACAAUUCCAAAUGAGGUACCAGGCUAAUUCUCCGGGUCUGGUUGGACAGUGGGUAUAAACCAAAUAGGGCAAGUUGAGGCAAGGCGGGGCACUGCCCCACCCAAGAGGUGCAUGUAACCGACUGGAGGACCAGGGGAUCUCCCGCUUUGGAACCUCUGUUCGGAUACAGCACUCCACCCAAGCCCUCUACAACCCACAGAACAGGAGGUCUUUGCAGGGCUGAAAAGCUUCAGCUAGCUGCCUGAACAGGGCAGAACAGCAACUUCAGCCAGUGCGGGGGCUGUCAGCAUACUUCUAUGUGGAAGCAUUGGCUGAUCUGAAAGCCAGAAAGCCGGCUGGAUGGAGCCAUCCACCCCCAGAAAGAAGGGGAACUGAAAACAGGGAAACAGCCCAUAGGGCAAGAUGGGUCCCCCGACCUGGGCAAAGCCCAGCAGGCUAAAAUACUCUUACUCAGAGUUUCGCACUCAGAACAUCAGUUUGGUAGCAAUCAGGAAUGAUCGAGCUCGGUGCGGGGAAGGGAAGCCACCAUUGCAGAAGCCCACCUAAUCACCUAAUUUUCCUGAGUAAAUAAAAGAUGCAGCAGCUCCACUGAAUUGGUGGCAGCCCAGCAGCGCCUCUGAAGGCAGACAAAGGAAAGGCCACCUCCCUAAGCAGCUACCUGAGAUCAAAACUAUCUAAAUCCAAGAGAUGGGGAGAAACCAGUGAAAGAAUGAAACCAUCAAAAACCAGAACAUCUCUCCCCCACCAUGAGAUCACAACUCCUCACCAGCAAGGGAACAAAGCAGGACAGAGAACGAAUUUGAUGAAUUGACAGAAGCAGGCUUCAGAAGGUAGGUAAUAACAAACUUCUCUAAGUUAAAGGAACGUGUUCUAUUCCAAUGCAAAGAAACUAAAAACCUUGAAAAAAGCUUCGAAGAAAUGCUAACUAGAGUAACCAGCUUAGAGAAGAACAUAAAUGACUUGAUGGAGCUGAAAAACACAGCACAAGAACUUCGAAAAGCAUAUACAAGUUUCAAUAGCUGAAUAGAUCGAGCAGAAGAAAGGAUAUCAGAGAUUGAAGAUCAACUCCAUGAAAUAAAAUGAGAAGGCAAGAAAACAGAACAAAGAGUGAAAAGAAAUGAACAAAGCCUUCAAGAAAUAUGGGAUUAUGUGAAAAGACCUAAUCUAUGCUUGAUUGGUGUACCAGAAGAUGACAGGGAGAAUGAAUCCAAGCUGGAAAACACUCUUCAGGAUAUUAUCCAGGAGAACUUCUCCAAUCUAGCAAGGCAGGCCAACAUUCAAAUACAGGAAAUACAGAGAACACCGCAACGAUACUCCUCUAGAAGAGCAACCCCAAGGCACAUAAUCAUCAGAUUCACCAGGGUUGAAACAAAGGAAAAAAUACUAAGGGCAGCCAGAGAGAAAGAUCAUGUCACCCACAAAGGGAAGCACAUCAGACUCACAGCAGAUCUCUUGGCAGAAACCCGACAAGCCAGAAGAGAGUGGGGGCCAAUAUUGAACAUCCUUAAAGAAAGAAUUUUCAACCCAGAAUUUCAUAUCCAGCCAAACUAAGCUUCAUAAGUGAUGGAGAAAUAAAAUCCUUUAUGGACAAGCAAUUGCUGAGAGAUUUUGUCACUACCAGACCUGCCCCACAAGAGCUCCUGAAGGAAGCACUAAACACAGAAAGGAAAAGCCAGAACCAGCCACUGCAAAAAAGAACCAAAUGGUAAAGACCAAAGAUGCAAUAAAGAAAUUACACCAACCAAAGGACAAACCAGUAAUAAAAUGGGAGGAUCAAAUUCACACAUAACGAUAUUAACAUUAAAUGUAAAUGAACUAAAUGCCCCAAUCAAAAGAUGCAGACUGGCAAAUUGGAUAAAAAGCCAAGAAUCAUCAGUGUGCUGUAUUCAGGAGGCCCAUCUCACAUGCAAAGACACACAUAGACUCAAAAUAAAGGGAUGGAAGAAGAUUUAUCAAGCAAAUGGAAAGCAAAAAAAAGCAGGGGUGGCAAUCCUAGUCUCUGAUAAAAUGGAUAUUAAACCAACAAAAAUCAAAAGAGACAAAGAAGGGCAUUGCAUAAUGGUAAAAGGAUCAAUACAACAAGAAGAGUGAACUAUUCUAAAUGUAUAUGCACCCAAUACAGGAGCACCCAGAUAUAUAAAGCAAGUUCUUAAUGACAUACAAAGAAACUUAGACUCCUGCACAAUAAUAGUGGGAGACUUUAACACUCCACUGUCAAUAUUAGAUAGACCAACGAGAAAGAAAAUCAACAAGGAAAUCCAGGACUUGAAAGCAGAUCUGGACCAAGUGAACUUGAUAGACAUUUACAGAACUCUCAACCCCAGAUCCACAGAGUAUACAUUCUUCUCAGCACCACAUCAUAGUUACUCUAAAAUCAACCACAUAAUUGGAAGUAAGUCACUCCUCAGCAAAUACAAAAGAGUGGAAAUUAUAACAGUCUCUCAGACCACAGGGCAAUCAAAUUAGAGCUCAGGAUUAAGAAACUCACUCAGAACCACAUAACUUCAUGGAAACUGAACAACUGACUCCUGAAUGUCGACUGGAUAAACAAUGAGAUAAAGGCAGAAAUAAAGAUGUUAUUCGAAACCAAUGAGAAUGAAGACACAACAUACCAGAAUCUCUGGGACACAUUUAAAGCAGUGUCUAGAGGGAAAUUCAUAGCAACAAAUGCCCACAUGAGGAGGAAGGAAAGGUCUAAAAUCAACACCCUAUCAUCAAAAUUGAAAGAGUUAGAGGAGCGAGAUCAAAAAACUCAAAAGCUAGCAGAAGACAAGAAAUAACUAAGAUCAGAGCAGAACUGAAAAAGACAGAGACACAAAAAAUCCUUCAAAAAAUCAACAAAUCCAGGAGCUAGUGUUUUGAAAACAUCAACAAAAUAGAUAGACCACUAGCCAGACUAAUAAAAAAGAAAAGAAAGAAGAAUCCAGUAGAUGCAAUAAAAAACAAUAAAGGGGACAUCACCACUGAUUCCACAGAAAGACAAACCACCAUCAGAGAUUACUAUAGACAACUCUAUGCACACAAACCAGUAAAUCUGGAAGAAAUGGAUAAAUCCCUGGACACUUACAGUCUUCCAAGACUAAACCAGGAAGAAGUUGAAACCCUGAAUAGACCAAUAACAAGGGCUGAAGUUGAGGCAGAAAUUAAUAGCCUACAAACUAAAAAAAGCCCAGGUCCAGACAGGUUUACAGCCAAAUUCUACCAGACAUACAAAGAGGAGUUGGUACCAUUCCUUCUGAAACUAUUCCAAACAAUCCAAAAAGAAGGAAUCCUCCCCAGCUCAUUUUAUGAGACCAACAUCAUCCUAAUACCAAAACUGGGCAGAGAUGCAACAAAAAAAGAAAACUUCAGGCCAAUAUCCAUGAUGAACAUCAACACAAAAAUUAUCAAUAAAAUACUGGCAAACAGAAUGCAACAGCAAAUCAAUAAGCUUAUUCAUCAUGAUCAAGUAGGCUUCAUCCCAGGGAUGCAAGGCUGGUUCACCAUACACAAGUCUAUAAAUGUAAUCCAUCAUAUAAACAGAACGAAAGACAAAAACCUCGUGAUUAUCUCAAUAGAUGCAGAAAAGGCCUUUGACAAAAUUCAACAGCCCUUUAUGCUAAAAACCCUCAAUAAACUAGGUAUCAAUGGAACUAUCACAAAUUAAUAAAAGCUAUUUAUGACAAACCCACAACCAACAUCAUACUGAACAGGAAAAACCUGGAAGCAUUCCCUUUGAAAUCUGGCAUAAGACAAGGAUGCCCUCUCUCACCACUCUCAUUCAAUAUAUCAUUGGAAGUUCUAGCCAGAGCAAUCAGGCAAGAAAAACAAAUAAAGGUAUUCAAUUAGGAAAAGAAGAAGCCAAAUUAUCUCUGUUUGCAGAUGACAUGAUUGUAUAUUUAGAAGACCCCAUUGUCUCAGCCCAAAAUCUCCUGAAACUGAUAACUGCAGCAAAGUCUCAGGAUACAAAACCAAUGUGCCGAAAUCACAAGCAUUCCUAUACACCAAUAACAGACAAACAGAGAGCCAAAUCAGAAGUGAACUCCCAUUCACAAUUGCUACAAAGAGAGUAAAAUACCUAGGAAUACAACUAACAAGGGAUAUAAAGGACCUCUUCAAGGAGAACUACAAACCACUGCUCAACCAAAUAAGAGAGGCCACAAACAGAUGGAAAAACAUUCCAUGCUCAUGGCUAGGAAGAAUCAACAUCAUGAAAAUGGCCAUACUGCCCAAAGUAAUUUAUAGAUUCAAUGCUAUACCCAUCAAGCUACCUAUGACCUUCUUCACAUAACUGGAAAAAACCACUUCAAACUUCCUAUGUAACCAAAAGAGAGCCUGCAUAGCUAAAACAAUCCUAAGCAAAAAGAACAAAGCUGGAGCUAUCCUGCUGCCUGACUUCAAACUAUACUAUAAGGCUACAGUAAUCAAAACAUCAUGGUACUGGUACCAAAACAGAGAUGUAGACCAAUGAAACAGAACAAAGGCCUCAGAAGCAACACCACACAUCUACAAUCAUCUGAUCUUUGACAAAUCUGAGAAAAACAAGCAAUGGGGAAAGGAUUCCCUGUUUAAUAAAUGGUGUUGGGAAAACUGGCUAGCAAUGUGCAGAAAGCAGAAACUGGACCCCUUCCUGACACCUUACACUAAAAUUAACUCCAGAUGGAUUGAAGAUCUAAACAUAAGACCUAACACCAUAAAAAUCCUAGAAGAAAACCUAGGCAAAACCAUUCAGGACAUAGGCAUAGGCAAGGACUUCAUGGCUAAAACACCAAAAGCAAUGGCAAAAAAAGGCAAAAUAGACAAAUGGGAUCCAAUUAAACUCCAGAGCCUCUGUAUAGCAAAGGAAGCAAUCAUUAGAAUGAAAUGGCAACUAACAGAAUGGGAAAAAAAUUUUGCAAUCUACCCAUCUGACAAAAGCUAAUAUCCAGAAACUACAAAGAAGUAAAACAGAUUUACAAGAGAAAAACAAACAAACCAAUUCAAAAGUGGGUAAAGGAUAUGAACAGACACUUUUCAAAAGAAGACAUCUAUGAGGCCAACAAACAUAUGAAAAAAUGUUUAUCAUCACUGGUCAUUAGAGAAAUGCAAAUCAAAACUACAUUGAGAUACCAUUUCACACCAGUUAGAAUGGCGAUCAAUAAAAAAUCUGGAGACAAUAGAUGCUGGAGAGGAUGUGGAAAAAUAGGAACACUUUUACACUGUUGAUGGGAGUGCAAAUUAGUGCAACCAUUGUGGAAGACAGAGUGGCAGUUCCUCAAGGACCUAGAAAUAGAAAUACCAUUUUACCCAGCAAUCCCAUUAUUGAGUAUAUACUCAAAUAAUUAUAAAUUGUUCUAUUAUAGAGACACAUGUACAUCUAUGUUCAUUGUGGCACUGUUUACAAUAGCAAAGACCUGGAACCAACCCAAAUAUCCAUCAAUGAUAGUCUCGAUAAAGAAAAUGUGGCACAUAUACACCAUGGAAUACUAUGUAGCCAUAAAAAAAGAUGAGUUCAUGUUCUUCAUAGGGACAUGGAUGAAUCUGGAAACCAUUAUUCUCAGCAAACUGACACAAGAACAGAAAACCAAACACUGCAUGUUAUCACUCAUAGGAUUAAACAAUUAGAACACGUGGACACAGGGAGGGGAGCAUCACAUACUGUGGUCAGUUGGAGGUGGCUAGGGGAGGGAGAGUGGGGGGUGGGGAGGGCAGAGAGGGUUAACAAGGGGAGAAAUGCCAGAUAUAGGUGAUGGGGGGGAUGAAGGCAGCAAACCACCUUGCCAUGUAUGUACCUAUGCAACAAUCUUGCAUGAUCUGCACAUGUACCCCAGAACCUAAAGUACAAUUAAAAAAAAAUAAAAAUAAGCAUUUCGGUAUCUGAAAAAACUUGUACAUGACUGCACUGGAAAACCUAUUGAGUAGUUAGAUGUCUGCACCUAUGUAUAGAGUCACCAUGAAUGCAAUAGCUAUAAAUGCAUACAGAUCACAUGUGUUGUUAGGAUGGCCCAAACACUGUGAUUAGCAUUGCCAUUCAUAACAUGAUUUUCCAAAAUGGUGAGCAGUCUUCAUAAAGUCCUGAACAAAUAUGCAUCAUCUUCACUCUAGACGGCAUUCCUGAAAAAUUCACUGUAUGUUAAAACUGCAAAAAAAGAAAAUCCUCUGUGUUUCUAUAUAAAAUGGGGUUGGAUGCUAGAUCUAACUAAGCAUUAACAGGUUUUCAUGGACAUAAACAUCGAGUGGGACAUUUGAAAGUCAUGAGGGGCAGUCACUUGUGAUGUGGAUGGUCCUGACCACUGCAGAGCAUCUGACAUCCCCACUCCUGUCCACUAAAUGUCAGCAGCAUCCCACAUUCAUUGUGGUAACAAACUGUGAUAGUAACAAAUGCCUCCCUUAAUUUCCAAAGAUACCUCUUAACGGGUAGAACCUCCCUCACUGGGAAUCCUGAGUUAGUGGCAGGGGUGUGUGUGUGUGUGUGUGUGUGUGUAGGUUAGGUGUGCCUUCCAACAGCUGGAGUUGAGAGUGACCUGAUCACCCUAUUGCUCCCUGUGAUGGUUAAUUUCAUGUGUCAAUUUGACUGGGUUCUAGGGUGCCCAGAUAUUUGGUCAAAUAUUUUUCUGGGUGUGUUGGGGAGGGUGUUUCUGGAUGUGAUUCACAUUUAAAUGUAAUGAGUUAGAGUAAAGCAGAUUGCCCUUUCCAAUGCAAGUGGGCCUCAAAAGAUCAGCUGAAGGCCUGAAUACAGCAAAAAGGUUAUUGUCCCCCAAGUAAGAGAAUUGCUGCUGCCUGACUGGCUUCAAGGUAGGACAUUGGCUUCUUCCUGCCUUCAGAUACAAACUGAAACAUUGGCUCUUCCUGGGUCAUGAGCCUGCUGGUCCUCAGACUGGACCUACACUCUAGUAGGUCUCCUACAUGCCAACUCACCCUACAGAUCUUGGGAUUUGUUAGCCUACAUAAUUGUGUGAGCCAAUUCCUCACAAUAAAUCUCUUUCUGUAUAUAUCCUAUUGGUCUGUUUCUCUGAAGAACCCGACUAAUACACUCCCAUAUGAGUCUGAGCCAUGUUCUUACCAUGGCCUACCUCUUCCCUUCUCAUCACUGACUCUGGGAUGUCAGGCUCUUGGCCAUAACAGAUGUUGGUCCACGCUGAGAUGACCUGGAGCACUCUAACAGGAGGCUACCGCUUCAGCACAUAGGACCCCACUCCAGACUCAGCAGGAGCCAGGCAAUGACAAACUAGAGGGGCAGGAGAUACCAACAAGUCACCCUGUGAGAGCUGAUUGUUCCUGGGCUUUCCACCCAUUUUCAAUGUCUAUUUGGACAUUAAGGCCAGGGGCCUCUUGUGAAACAGCAGAAGACAAGGCAUUAGUAGUGCCCCCCCCCCCCGCCCCCGGCAACCCGCAAAGAAAUAUAAUGGGAAAGUCAGCAAGGCCAGGGCCAAUGAUGGAGGGAAAUUUUACAAGGUUAACAUGUAUGGAGAACUCCCUUCAAAUACCACCAGGGAUGAAGAGUUUCCCCGUGGAGCACCAUCUCUCAGUGGGCAGAGGGUGCUGCUGGUAGGAAACUGAUCACUUCCCUUCAGUGAGUGAAUCCAGUGGUCGGGAAGGGAGAUCUCAGGAAUAAAUUGUAAGGGCACUGCCUUCUGUCACAUAUUCAGUCAUUCAAAAAUGUAUUGAACAUCUACCACAUGCCAGGAGUGCAUGAAGUUCUGGAAGUAUUAGAUGAGCAAGGUGUAUCCCCAAGGAGUGCACAGCCUGGCAGCAAGACAGAGAGUGACAGGCCAUUGCGAAAUGACCACAUAUACACCAGAAUGGGUAAAUACAAUUACAGUGGGAACGCAGAGUCAGGGCAGCUAGCCCUCCCUGGGAGGUGGGGCUGGAGGCCUUCCCAGAAGGGACACCAGAAGUGUGUUUUAAAGAAUAAAGUCAGUCAGUCAGAGAAGGGGAGAAGAGGCAAGGAGCAGGGAGGGAGCAGGUACUUCCUGGAAGCUGGUAGAAGGAACAUAAGGCACAAGGGUGGAAUGGUGAGAAAUAGGGCAGAGAGAGAGAGAGUAGGCAGGGGUGGGGUCGUGGUCUGUGUGAUAUACACAGUCCCUGUGUUUGCACAUAUCACAAGCACUGAAGAAUCGAGUCUGAGAUCACAAACUAGCAGACUGGGAGCAGAAGCUGCACUUGGAGAAGUGGCACAGCAACAUCACUGAAGUGUGUUGUGACCCAAACUAAGGUGCAGGACAGAAAAAAAGAGGAGGGAAGGAGCAUAAGAAAUGUCAAGUGAGGGAAAGAUGUAUACACAUGCACCUACAAACAUGCACAACUUAUCAGUAAAAUAUGAAAAAAAUCUUGCUGUCAUUAAUAAAGCAAUAAAAAAUAAAAUGACAUGGUACCUUCUUCCAUCACACAUGGAGUCACACCACUGGUACUUGGCCCUUUGAGUCUAGAAUUUUAAAGAGAGCCCUGGGCAGCAGGCAGGGUUGGGGUAUAUGUGGUAAUUAGAAGCCUCGGCAGUGGAUAAAAUCACCAAGGAAGAGACCACAGAGUGAGGAUGUAAGGCAAAACCCUGGAGAACACUAGCAACUGAGGAGCAUAGAGGUUGAAGAACAGUUCAGGGAGGCUGAGAAGGAAGAGUCAGAGAAGCACGAGGAAAAGCAAGAGAAAGUAAUGUCAUGGAAUUUCGGAGAGGAAGGAAUGCCAAGGAGGAGGAAAUGAUGAAGAGCUUUGAAAGUUGCAGAGACUGCAAGUAAAAUUGACCUUUAGACUGAAAAGUUUCAUUGUAUUUUGAAAUAAGUCAUCAGCGACCUUGCAAGAUGGGUUCAAUGUUUAGUGGGAGGAGAAGCUACAUGGCUGUGACUUGAGGAAGGAAUGAGGGAUGAGGAAGCGCAGAUGAGGAAUCUAGCCACAUUCAAGAUAGCUGGUUGACUUUGGGAAGAAUAAGGUGGUUUUGGAGUUGUAUGGAGACCCCCAGAAUUCAGUUCCUAUUUUCCCCACCAGAAUUCUAAACCAAUCAGGUGGUAGGAUGAGAGCUAGUCAGAUGGAGACCAAAAUGUCACUUUUAUUAGGGAUAAAGCUGACACUGGAAAAGGUGACAUUAAACGUCCAGUAAUAACUUUUCCAAAUGACAAAGACAGACUCACCAAUCACAGGCAGCACUGGGCAUGCCAGGCCUUCCUGCACAGAGGCUGCACCUGGAGAGCUGGAAUCACGUGAGAGCAGAUCAGAAUGAGAGCUUGCUGAUAAGGCUGGCUACGCAGAGGAAGGAAGAGAAGUGAAGAAGAUGAGUCAAAAAGACAUUCCUCCUCUCUGGUGAGAAGCAAUGGGGGAGAAGGGGAAGAGGACCUGUGGCAUUUUAGGGAAAUUCCUCCUCAUAGAAAUAAGGAAUGGGGGCAAACCUAUAACUACUGACCCAGAAGGAGCUAAGUAUAGUUAGCCUGUUUGCAUCUUUGCAAGAGCAUAUGUAUUUGUGUAACCCAGAAUGAUUAUGAGGUAGGACUGGAUAGAAUGGGGCCAUGUUCAGGGGGAGCAACUUCUUGCUGUCUGUAAAGAAGAAAGGUACUGAAAUCAUACAUGGCUUUACUAUUUUUCACAUUUGAUUUUUAACACAUACUCGUUAGAGACUUUUUGCAAAUUAUCUUAGCAUUACAUAGCAACUCUAUCUUG
Long non-coding RNA from Callithrix jacchus (white-tufted-ear marmoset), 17208 nucleotides. RefSeq lists it as uncharacterized. NCBI's taxonomy places the organism in Eukaryota, Metazoa, Chordata, Mammalia, Primates, Cebidae. The record is from RefSeq and is a predicted model, not a curated record.